GGUGACUCAGUGGUAGAGCACUUGCCUGGCAUGCAUGAGUCCCUGGGUUCGAUUCCUCAGCACCA
This 65-nucleotide transfer RNA is filed under the name Dipodomys ordii (Ord's kangaroo rat). It matches the Rfam family "tRNA". Rfam says of the family: Transfer RNA (tRNA) molecules are approximately 80 nucleotides in length. Their secondary structure includes four short double-helical elements and three loops (D, anti-codon, and T loops). The record is from Rfam by way of RNAcentral. Lineage: Eukaryota; Metazoa; Chordata; Mammalia; Rodentia; Heteromyidae.